Molecule: ribosomal RNA, 275 nt
Filed under: uncultured bacterium
Lineage: Bacteria
Description: partial 16S ribosomal RNA
Rfam family: Bacterial small subunit ribosomal RNA
Source: RNAcentral
CCUACGGGGGGCUGCAGUGGGGAAUAUUGCACAAUGGAGGGAACUCUGAUGCAGCGACGCCGCGUGAGCGAUGAAGGCUUUCGAGUCGUAAAGCUCUGUCGAAUGGGAAGAUAAUGACGGUACCAUUUGAGAAAGCCCCGGCUAACUACGUGCCAGCAGCCGCGGUAAUACGUAGGGGGCGAGCGUUGUCCGGAAUUAUUGGGCGUAAAGGGUUCGUAGGCGGCAAUGUAUGUCAGGUGUGAAAGACGGUGGCUCAACCAACGCAAGCAUCUGAA